CUUUGUCUCGUCCAGCCUUCAUUUAGAAAACUCCAGCCAAGGUUAGAAGAACCGUUAAAACAUCGAUUCCCAAACGAAUAAAAAAAAUGAAGGCUAUCGUUGUCAUGGUGUGUUUUGCUGUUUUACUGGCUGUUGGUAUGGAUGGUGCAGAGAGUGGAAGAGUAGCUGUUCCUGACUUGUUUGACGAUCAACAAGAAGACGAUUACAAACGGCCAUUAAAGCGAUGUAGAGAUUUUGGUGGUUGCGAGUAUGACUGGGAAUGCUGUAACAACAGAUGUUACUAUGGACACUGCGGCUAACUGCUGAWACUUGUUGGAUAGAUUUAGUCCAUAGUCGUUAAGUAAGCCAUCGAAUACCUCCUUUAUGACUGAUUAGAAUUUUGAAGUCUUUAUCAUAAGAUGUGUGUCUGUYGUGUUUCAUGCUAUAGAGCAUGGUAUCACUAGAAACACAGAUUAAUUUAUACCAUUGGACGAUGUAAAGUAGAAAAAUCACAUGUAAGUAAAGAUUGUUAACGACCGAUGAUAGAUGAGAUAAAACACAGUUAGAUAAAUUUAUCUUGUUGGGUGUUUUGUAUUCAUAAUUCUAGCUGCAAGUAACCAUGCUGGGACUAUUACACUGCAAUGAUAUCGAAAUCUAACUAGUACUAAAAUAAAAUAACAUUUGUAUUCAA
This is a long non-coding RNA of Actinia tenebrosa (Australian red waratah sea anemone), 670 nucleotides long. RefSeq lists it as uncharacterized. The record is from RefSeq and is a predicted model, not a curated record. Lineage: Eukaryota; Metazoa; Cnidaria; Anthozoa; Actiniaria; Actiniidae.